CAGUCGCCGCGGGAAUACGGAGGGAGCUAGCGUUGUUCGGAAUUACUGGGCGUAAAGCGCGCGUAGGCGGUUACUCAAGUCAGAGGUGAAAGCCCGGGGCUCAACCCCGGAACUGCCUUUGAAACUAGGUGACUAGAAUCUUGGAGAGGUCAGUGGAAUUCCGAGUGUAGAGGUGAAAUUUGUAGAUAUUCGGAAGAACACCAGUGGCGAAGGCGACUGACUGGACAAGUAUUGACGCUGAGGUGCGAAAGCGUGGGGAGCAAACAGGAUUAGAUACCCGGGUAGUCCCUGUCUCUUAUAC
Molecule: ribosomal RNA, 301 nt
Filed under: uncultured bacterium
Lineage: Bacteria
Description: partial 16S ribosomal RNA
Rfam family: Bacterial small subunit ribosomal RNA
Source: RNAcentral